RNAcentral lists this transfer RNA (59 nucleotides) under Salmo salar (Atlantic salmon). It matches the Rfam family "tRNA", at positions 8 to 63 of the family's 71-position model. From Rfam's summary of the family: Transfer RNA (tRNA) molecules are approximately 80 nucleotides in length. Their secondary structure includes four short double-helical elements and three loops (D, anti-codon, and T loops). Lineage: Eukaryota; Metazoa; Chordata; Actinopteri; Salmoniformes; Salmonidae. The record is from Rfam by way of RNAcentral.
UGGUUCAGUUGGUAGAGCGUGGCGCUUACAAUGCUGAGGUUGUGGGUUCGAAUCCCCAC